Molecule: ribosomal RNA, 891 nt
Filed under: Triticum aestivum (bread wheat)
Lineage: Eukaryota; Viridiplantae; Streptophyta; Magnoliopsida; Poales; Poaceae
Description: partial small subunit ribosomal RNA
Source: RNAcentral
AUGGUCCUCCUCCGCUACGGCGUCACCUACCUCAUCCAGCAUCCACCACCACCCAACGCCGACAGCCACUACCAUGAGCUUGACACCCAUGUCGUCCUCGCCAUCUAUGCCACCCUUACCGAUCAGAUCAUCGACCAUGUGAUCGGCGCCACCACCACCUAUGCCCUCUGGACUCGGAUCCAGGAGUACUUCCUUGCCAAUCGUGUAGCCCGAUACAUGAUCCUCAAUCGGCAGUACCGCAACCUCAAGCAGGGUGACCUUUUCGUCGACGAGUACGCGCGCCGUAUGAAGCUCAUCACCGCCGGCCUCGCGGACAUUGAUCAUGCCGUGACCGAGGUCGACCUCACCUUGCAGUUUCUCCACAGCCUCGACGGGCGCUUCGACACCAUCCGUGUGGUUCUGGGGGACACCGUUCCCUUGCCACCCUUCGAGACGGUCUUCUCGCGCAUCAAACUCGCCGAGGAGAACCAGGCUCAGCGCGCCUCCGACGCCAGCGCCUCUGUGAUCGCCGUCCACGGGAGCGGCGGCACACCCGACACCGGCAGCUCCUCCGGGCCCCCAAACUUCCCCAACACCGGCGGCUCUGGCCACCGCUCCGGUGAGCGCGCGGAUCGGCCCUCGGAUUGGGCUCCCAACCAGCAGCACGGCCGUGGCAACGGCCCCUCUCGUCAGGCGAAGGUGGUGAUCGCGGCCGCGGGCGCGGCCAUGGGUGCGGUCGUGGGUGCGGCGACUCGGGCGGUCGUGGUCAUGCCCUGCCGGCCUACAACCCAUACAUGGGUUUCUUCGCCCCCUAUGGCAUGGCAAUCCCUCCUCCACGCCCCGGCUGGGUUCCUCCCAACUCCGCGGGCGUGCUUGGGCCACGUCAUGGAUCCCACGCCCACGCCUAUCUGA